RNAcentral lists this ribosomal RNA (232 nucleotides) under Staphylococcus aureus. RNAcentral describes it as "partial 23S ribosomal RNA". It matches the Rfam family "Bacterial large subunit ribosomal RNA", at positions 2614 to 2847 of the family's 2925-position model. Lineage: Bacteria; Bacillati; Bacillota; Bacilli; Caryophanales; Staphylococcaceae. The record is from RNAcentral.
GAACGUCGUGAGACAGUUCGGUCCCUAUCCGUCGUGGGCGUAGGAAAUUUGAGAGGAGCGGUCCUUAGUACGAGAGGACCGGGAUGGACAUACCUCUGGUGUACCAGUUGUCGUGCCAACGGCAGAGCUGGGUAGCUAUGUGUGGACGGGAUAAGUGCUGAAAGCAUCUAAGCAUGAAGCACCCCUCAAGAUGAGAUUUCCCAACUUCGGUUAUAAGAUCCCUCAAAGAUGA